Molecule: ribosomal RNA, 253 nt
Filed under: uncultured bacterium
Lineage: Bacteria
Description: partial 16S ribosomal RNA
Rfam family: Bacterial small subunit ribosomal RNA
Source: RNAcentral
UACGUAGGGUGCAAGCGUUUGUCCGGAAUUAUUGGGCGUAAAGAGCUCGUAGGCGGUUUGUCGCGUCUGCUGUGAAAACUCGGGGCUUAACCCCGGGCCUGCAGUGGGUACGGGCAGACUAGAGUGCGGUAGGGGAGACUGGAAUUCCUGGUGUAGCGGUGAAAUGCGCAGAUAUCAGGAGGAACACCGGUGGCGAAGGCGGCCUCUGGGUCGACCCUGACGCUGAGAGGCGAAAGCGUGGGGAGCGAACGGG